GGCUUCAUAGCUCAGUUGGUAGAGCAACGUACGAGAAACGCGGAGGUCAUGGGUUCAAAUCCCGUUGAAGCCA
This 73-nucleotide transfer RNA is filed under the name Desmophyllum pertusum. RNAcentral describes it as "Lophelia pertusa tRNA". It matches the Rfam family "tRNA". From Rfam's summary of the family: Transfer RNA (tRNA) molecules are approximately 80 nucleotides in length. Their secondary structure includes four short double-helical elements and three loops (D, anti-codon, and T loops). Further hydrogen bonds mediate the characteristic L-shaped molecular structure. tRNAs have two regions of fundamental functional importance: the anti-codon, which is responsible for specific mRNA codon recognition, and the 3' end, to which the tRNAs corresponding amino acid is attached (by aminoacyl-tRNA synthetases). tRNAs cope with the degeneracy of the genetic code in two manners: having more than one tRNA (with a specific anti-codon) for a particular amino acid; and 'wobble' base-pairing, i.e. permitting non-standard base-pairing at the 3rd anti-codon position. Lineage: Eukaryota; Metazoa; Cnidaria; Anthozoa; Scleractinia; Caryophylliidae. The record is from Rfam by way of RNAcentral.